This 557-nucleotide ribosomal RNA is filed under the name fungal sp. BLH 121. RNAcentral describes it as "eukaryotic LSU rRNA". The stretch from base 200 to 353 matches the Rfam family "5.8S ribosomal RNA". Lineage: Eukaryota; Fungi. The record is from RNAcentral.
CCGUAGGUGAACCUGCGGAAGGAUCAUUACCUUUCAAUGCAGAAGAGUUGAGAUGGUUGAGUAUCUCGCCUCUCAAUUCUCGCUGUAUUUUACCCUUGUUUUUCUCAUACUAUUAUUUCCUCGGCAGGCUCGCCUGCCGGGUGAAACAACUUCAAACCUGUUUAAUUUUCAAUCAGCGUCUGAACAAAUUAAUAAUUACAACUUUCAACAACGGAUCUCUUGGUUCUGGCAUCGAUGAAGAACGCAGCGAAAUGCGAUAAGUAGUGUGAAUUGCAGAAUUCAGUGAAUCAUCGAAUCUUUGAACGCACAUUGCGCCCCUUGGUAUUCCAUGGGGCAUGCCUGUUCGAGCGUCAUUUGUACCUUCAAGCUCUGCUUGGUGUUGGGUGUUUGUCCUUGCUCUAGUGGCGGGACUCGCCUUAAAGUAAUUGGCAGCCAGUGUUUUGGUUUUGAAGCGCAGCACAAGUCGCGAUUCAAGUCUAUACGCUAGUUUCCACAAGUCUUUUAUCACUUUUGACCUCGGAUCAGGUAGGGAUACCCGCUGAACUUAAGCAUAUCAA